GGCCGAGUAGGCAGCGAGUUGUAGCCUCGCGCACGGGCGUAAGUGCCCCCCGACCAG
RNAcentral lists this transfer RNA (57 nucleotides) under Cyrtodactylus sangi. RNAcentral describes it as "partial tRNA-Tyr". The record is from RNAcentral. Lineage: Eukaryota; Metazoa; Chordata; Lepidosauria; Squamata; Gekkonidae.